RNAcentral lists this ribosomal RNA (261 nucleotides) under Triticum aestivum (bread wheat). Its description in RNAcentral is "partial small subunit ribosomal RNA". The record is from RNAcentral. Lineage: Eukaryota; Viridiplantae; Streptophyta; Magnoliopsida; Poales; Poaceae.
AUGGAUGGUGAAUGCAAGGUGCAUUGGAUCGCUUGGGAGAAGAUGUGUGCUGCCAAAAAAGAUGGUGGGCUUGGCUUCCGUGACCCGGAGGCGUUCAACAAAGCUCUCCUAGCAAAAUAGGCUUGGAGAAUCCUUCAAGUUCUUGGAUCUCUUUGUGCUCGAGUUCUGAAAGCUCGAUAUUUUCAGGAAGACUCGAUCCUUUCGGCAACUUGUCCAUCGGCGGGCUCGUUCACGUUCCGUAGCAUUCUCCAUGGCAGAGAC